Molecule: ribosomal RNA, 459 nt
Filed under: uncultured bacterium
Lineage: Bacteria
Description: partial 16S ribosomal RNA
Rfam family: Bacterial small subunit ribosomal RNA
Source: RNAcentral
CCUACGGGAGGCAGCAGUGAGGAAUAUUGGUCAAUGGCCGGAAGGCUGAACCAGCCAAGCCGCGUGAAGGACGAAGGUGCCAAGCAUUGUAAACUUCUUUUGUCAAGGGACAAAAUCAGGCUCGAGAGCCUGACCGAGGGUACUUGAAGAAAAAGCAUCGGCUAACUACGUGCCAGCAGCAGCGGUAAUACGGAGGAUGCGAGCGUUAUCCGGUUUUAGUGGGUUUAAAGGGUGCGUAGGCGGACUGUUAAGUCAGAGGUAAAAGCCCGGGGCUCAACACCGGCGAGCCGUUGAAACUGGGUGUCUUGAGAUGUCGAGAGGUAUGCGGAAUGCGCAGUGUAGCGGUGAAAUGCUUAGAUAUUGCGCAGAACUCCGAUUGCGAAGGCAGCAUACCGGCGGCGAUCUGACGCUGAGGCACGAAAGCGUGGGUAUCGAACAGGAUUAGAUACCCCAGUAGUC